GCUUAUUUAUCCAUCUGCGCAUAAUUGUUUGUGUGUGCCUCUGUGCAUUGCUUUCAUCUUUGAGCAUUAGUCGUAUAUCAUUUCAUGAUCAUUGUUCAUACUUUGUGACAUUUUGUUUUGUCCAUUGAGGAAUCAAUUGUAAGUCCAACUAUUGGCAGUUGUUUCCUAUGAUCUGGUAGGAUUUGGAACUAAGACCAUUAAUUGGCAUUCCUUUCCUUGGAGUCGAGUGUAAGACCAUU
RNAcentral lists this long non-coding RNA (239 nucleotides) under Lathyrus oleraceus (garden pea). RNAcentral describes it as "Pisum sativum (pea) long non-coding RNA (PSAT_LNC011269)". Lineage: Eukaryota; Viridiplantae; Streptophyta; Magnoliopsida; Fabales; Fabaceae. The record is from RNAcentral.